AUUGAACGCUGGCGGCAGGCCUAACACAUGCAAGUCGAGCGGAUGAAGGGAGCUUGCUCCUGGAUUCAGCGGCGGACGGGUGAGUAAUGCCUAGGAAUCUGCCUGGUAGUGGGGGAUAACGUCCGGAAACGGGCGCUAAUACCGCAUACGUCCUGAGGGAGAAAGUGGGGGAUCUUCGGACCUCACGCUAUCAGAUGAGCCUAGGUCGGAUUAGCUAGUUGGUGGGGUAAAGGCCUACCAAGGCGACGAUCCGUAACUGGUCUGAGAGGAUGAUCAGUCACACUGGAACUGAGACACGGUCCAGACUCCUACGGGAGGCAGCAGUGGGGAAUAUUGGACAAUGGGCGAAAGCCUGAUCCAGCCAUGCCGCGUGUGUGAAGAAGGUCUUCGGAUUGUAAAGCACUUUAAGUUGGAAAGAAGGGCAGUAAGUUAAUACCUUGCUGUUUUGACGUUACCAACAGAAUAAGCACCGGCUAACUUCGUG
RNAcentral lists this ribosomal RNA (484 nucleotides) under uncultured bacterium. RNAcentral's name for it is "partial 16S ribosomal RNA". It matches the Rfam family "Bacterial small subunit ribosomal RNA", at positions 30 to 507 of the family's 1533-position model. The record is from RNAcentral.